This is a long non-coding RNA of Hippocampus comes (tiger tail seahorse), 583 nucleotides long. RefSeq lists it as uncharacterized. NCBI's taxonomy places the organism in Eukaryota, Metazoa, Chordata, Actinopteri, Syngnathiformes, Syngnathidae. The record is from RefSeq and is a predicted model, not a curated record. The transcript has 2 exons.
GGAGGUCCCUUUAAGUUGCCAUUGACGGAGGCCCGAGCGUGUCACAUGGACAUGAUAUCAUGACCGGGCAGGAACACUGCGAGCGAGGGAGCGAGGCUACUUCUUCUUCUUGGGCUCCGAAGAGGAAUUAAAAAAAAAAAAAACAACCCAAAAAAGAAUAACGCGGAGUCAUUUCACGACAGAAGGGAACGAGGAUCCGGAACGCUGGAUUCGGACUUGUCGGUUAUACAAUCCACCUGCCAGCAGCUGUGACGCGCCGUAAAAACAAAUUGACGGAGGAAACAUCGCAGUCCCGGAGCAGCGCCUUUUUGGAGUACGCGACGCGACGCGGAUCAAGAUGGAGAAUGAAAUGGACGUCCCAGCGUGGGAGUCGCAGCCUGACACGAGCGUCUUUGUGCCUCGGCGUGUCACUUCCUGGGAAGAGAAUGGAGCGGGAAGCCAGCGGAAGCGCAAAGCACACCUCCACAGAGAGGCCUUUUCUUUCGAAAAAUGGUUUGUAUGUGUGAGUGUGUGUGGUGAUGAUAUUUAGCAUCAAAAAGCCUCUUUUAGGGUUUGGCCUUUUGUGAAAGGGCUUCAAAGGGGG